UCUCUUUUUUACUUCUUUUUUAUUUUCUCUUUUUCAUCUUUAUUUUAACUAUUUGCAUGUGUGUACGGAUGCCUAGUAUUUUUCUGUGGGACUCUGGGACUACCCUGGGGAAUUCCUGAAAAAUCACGGGAUUUAAAGAGGAACUUGAUGAAGACAUCAAAGUUGUUUACAACUGUGCGUCACCGAUGCAAGAGAGGUGGAUGGAAAGUGAGCUUCUAAGUGUCCUGGAGAUUUAACUUUCCAUCACACCGGCCCCAGGGUCAGACGUCAAGCAAGAGGUGUCGCUAAUAUGGAGGGUCAGGCCGUCGUGGAGCCAUGAGGCCAGGUCACGCCCGCCCACCGCUGCCGACCUUCGCAUCCCUGGAGAUCUGAAGCCGGCCCGGCGGGACCCAGCCGAGCCCCCCGGAGGCCAUGGCCGAGCGGCACCA
This 428-nucleotide long non-coding RNA is filed under the name Capra hircus (goat). RNAcentral's name for it is "lncRNA (ENSCHIG00010023262.1)". Lineage: Eukaryota; Metazoa; Chordata; Mammalia; Artiodactyla; Bovidae. The record is from RNAcentral.